Shinella sp. HZN7 is the source of this 82-nucleotide non-coding RNA. NCBI's taxonomy places the organism in Bacteria, Pseudomonadati, Pseudomonadota, Alphaproteobacteria, Hyphomicrobiales, Rhizobiaceae. The record is from Rfam.
GCGGGCGUGGCGAAACUGGUAGACGCAAGGGACUUAAAAUCCCUCGGCCUUGGCUGUGCGGGUUCGAUCCCCGCCGCCCGCA